RNAcentral lists this transfer RNA (77 nucleotides) under Fidelibacterota bacterium. Its description in RNAcentral is "tRNA-His". It matches the Rfam family "tRNA". From Rfam's summary of the family: Transfer RNA (tRNA) molecules are approximately 80 nucleotides in length. The record is from RNAcentral. Lineage: Bacteria; Pseudomonadati; Fidelibacterota.
GUGGGCGUAGUUCAAUUGGUUAGAGCACCUGGUUGUGGUCCAGGAUGUUGCGGGUUCGAGUCCCGUCGCUCACCCCA